CAUUUCUGUCUUCCCACGAUUCCAGGCCAUCUGGGACGGAUACCAGAUGCAUCAUAUCAGGCGCAAGGCAAGUUCCAUUAGGGGAAGUACAUGACCUUGUGCUGGAUAAGGUAUAGCUAGUACAUGUGGAAUGCCCAUAUUGUUUCUUGAACACUAUACUACCACUAUUAUGUGUCCCUAUUUAUAUGUUAUAAUUCAUCUUUUUUUGUAAUUAGGCAUAUCAAAUGUCUAAUGACCAAUAUGUGGUCAAGUUUUCCUGAGCCUGAGGGAGGCAAUCUACUAUGCUUUUGUUU
Coffea arabica (coffee) is the source of this 293-nucleotide non-coding RNA. The record is from RefSeq and is a predicted model, not a curated record. NCBI's taxonomy places the organism in Eukaryota, Viridiplantae, Streptophyta, Magnoliopsida, Gentianales, Rubiaceae.